Molecule: RNA transcript, 1969 nt
Organism: Phragmites australis (common reed)
Lineage: Eukaryota; Viridiplantae; Streptophyta; Magnoliopsida; Poales; Poaceae
Exons: 3
Source: RefSeq, a predicted model, not a curated record
UUCAGUUUGCUUUACAAUUUCAUUGUGCAUUACAUUGAUUUUGCGAUAGACGUGAGUACCACCAAUGUAGAAUUUCAUUUUUUUUCUUUUCCGAGUGUGAUCAACCUAGGCAUUAGGACUAACAACGAUGUAGAAAUCGGUAGCACUAAUGCAUCGGUGCCGGCAACCUUUAGCUCGAUGGAUUGAUCAGCCAUUGUCAUUGAACAAGAUACAGUGGACUUCAAUGUAAGGGUACUCAUAGGAUGACUAUAAUUGCAAGGCUAGCUAUCACAGUGUGCAAAGAGCUAUUGCUGAUUUAUAUGGUAGUUGGGAAGAGAGCUUCCAGUUGCUUUAUAACUUCAAAGCUGAAAUUGAGCUGAGAUCCCCAUGGAGUAUUAUAGAUAUUGCCACUAAGGAAGUUGAAGGUAAUAUUUUUUUUCGACAAGUUCUUCGUUGCGUUUAAACCCAAUAUAGAUGGAUUUUUGAAGGGGUGCAGAGUGCAGACCAUACAUAAGUAUAGAUUCAACUGCUUUAAAUGGCAAGUGGAAUGGGUAGCUAGCUGCGGUUACAGCUAUGGAUGGGCAUAAUUGGAUGUUUCCUGUUGCUUUUGGAUUUUUUGAUGUUGAAACAACAACAAAAAUGGUCUUGGUUUAUGAGUUAAUUGAAGAAGGCAAUAGGUGAUCCUCCAAUAUUAGUUGUAUGCACUGAUGCUUGCAAGGGUUUAGAAAAUGCAGUGAAGAAUAUUUUCCUUCAUGCCGAGCAAAGGGAGUGUUUCAAGCAUCUCAUGGGAAAUUUUGUUAAAAAAAUCCAUGGUGACUUGGGAGGCCACAUCUGGCCUGCUGCAAAGGCAUAUAAGAAAUCAAUAUUUCAUUACGACCCAAGUACUUACAGAAGAACCUAAGGUAUUGGAUUACCUUAAUGACCAUCACAAUUUGCUAUGGAUGAGGUGCAUUUCCUACUCUUUUCAAUUGUUAUUUAAUCAUCAAUUUUACUCGUACACUUAAUAACAAUAACCUCUUAGUGUGACAAGUUGAGAGAGAUGGUCAUGGAGCUGUUUAAGGAAGAGGAGAAAGAUUGGAGAGCGACUGCAAGGUAAAAUUCUACCAGCUAUCAUACAACAACUAAAUGCUAGGACUAGAAGAUUAGGCCAUCUUAAGCCACAAGCAUCAAGUGAUGGGAGUGUUGAGGUCAGGGAUACAUAAAAGGAUCACCUUAGGCAUGUAGUCAAGACACUUAACCGUGAAUGUGCUUGCCUCGAGUGGCAACAUACAGGCAAGCCAUGUCCACAUGCAUUGGUUGUUUUAACUGCAUUGCCUCACUGCAAGUUGGAGGACUUUUGUGCAUGUGUACUACUUAGUGCAAAAAUUCAGAGAAGCAUAUGAAUGGGAGAUAGAACCACUUACAGACAAGACUCAGUGGCCUGUAGUGGAUCCAGGGUUUGUUGUGCAUGCACCACUACCAAAAAGGGGUGCAGGAAGACGUUGGGAACUAAGGAUAAGGGGUGCUCCUGAGGGGGUUCAGGGAAAAAAUUUAAGAUGGGGGCAAGAACAAAUGCAAAAAAUGCCAUGAGCUGGGACACAAGGAAGCUGCAUGUCUAUACAAUGGGGUAAAGAAAAGGAAAAGUAGGAGAAAUGCGGCUCCAUGGGAAGCUGUAAGUAACUCCACAAUUGUCAACACAUCAAGCAAUGUAACUUCAUCUAGUCCUAGACCUGUCACAAGGAGUCCAAGGAAUGUCACUCCAUCUAGUCCUGGACCUGUCACAAGGUCUCAAACUGCCAUGUCUCCUGCCAAGACUCCAACCAAAUCUCUUGCAAGACCUUUCAAAAAGUUGACUCCGAAGAAGAGAAAAGUCCGCCAUCUUUGAUCUAAAUGGAGUCAUUUUGUCAUUUGCAAUACUUAUGUUUGAUUGUUAGCAUGGACUAAGUACUGUGUGCUGUGUGGAAAACCUUCAAUUCAUUUUUACCGGCUAUGUAUUAAAACAUUACUACUG